Molecule: long non-coding RNA, 334 nt
Organism: Strongylocentrotus purpuratus (purple sea urchin)
Lineage: Eukaryota; Metazoa; Echinodermata; Echinoidea; Camarodonta; Strongylocentrotidae
Exons: 3
Source: RefSeq, a predicted model, not a curated record
AGAAGCUAUCUAGACUUUAAUUCAACAUAUAUCUUGAUAGAGACACUUCGUCACAUCGAGCUACGAGAAAGAAUAUCAUCAUCUUACAGAAUUCUACUCGAACACCGCAUCGAAAUCAGACUUUAAAAAUGGCGUCAAAAACCAUGAUUUCUCUCUACUGUCUGAUUGCAUUGGCCGUGGUAGCAAGUGUUUUAGUCGAGGAAGAUGAGAUCGACAAUUCCAAUGCGUUGAGUGUCGAGGAGCAACGAACCCUAGAGGAAUAUUGUAAGCAGCUAAGACGGUCAGGUGGUCAUGGUAGUGUCGAACAAUAUCAGAAUAUGUGCGUUGCUAAUGG